UGCCAGCCGCCGCGGUAAUACGUAGGGUGCAAGCGUUGUCCGGAUUUAUUGGGUUUAAAGGGUGCGUGGGUGGUUUGGUAAGUCUUGGGUGAAAGUCUGCAGCUCAACUGUAGAAUUGCCUGAGAUACUGUCAAACUUGAGUAUGGUUGAGGUAGCUGGAAUUGGUGGUGUAGCGGUGAAAUGCAUAGAUACCACCAGGAACACCGAUUGCGAAGGCAGGUUACUAAGCCAUAACUGACACUGAUGCACGAAAGCGUGGGGAGCGAACAGGAUUAGAUA
RNAcentral lists this ribosomal RNA (279 nucleotides) under uncultured bacterium. RNAcentral describes it as "partial 16S ribosomal RNA". It matches the Rfam family "Bacterial small subunit ribosomal RNA", at positions 506 to 784 of the family's 1533-position model. The record is from RNAcentral.